RNAcentral lists this ribosomal RNA (370 nucleotides) under uncultured organism. RNAcentral describes it as "partial 16S ribosomal RNA". It matches the Rfam family "Bacterial small subunit ribosomal RNA", at positions 527 to 896 of the family's 1533-position model. The record is from RNAcentral.
GUAGGAGGCGAGCGUUAUCCGGAUUUAUUGGGCGUAAAGGCGUCUAGGCGGUGUCCUAAGUUGAGCGUGAAAUCUCCCGGCUUAACUGGGAGGGACUAUUCGAUACUGUUGGGCUAGAGGGCAGCAAGGGGAGGUGGAAUUCCCGGUGGGGUGGUGAAAUGCGUAGAUAUCGGGAGGAACACCAGUGGCGAAGGCGGCCUCCUGGGCUGUUGCUGACGCUGAGGCCCGAAAGCGUGGGGAGCAAACAGGAUUAGAUACCCUGGUAGUCCACGCCAUAAACUAUGGACACUAGGUAUAGGGAGUAUCGACCCUCUCUGUGCCGAAGCUAACGCGUUAAGUGUCCCACCUGGGGACUACGGCCGCAAGGCUA